RNAcentral lists this ribosomal RNA (300 nucleotides) under uncultured Micrococcaceae bacterium. RNAcentral describes it as "bacterial SSU rRNA". It matches the Rfam family "Bacterial small subunit ribosomal RNA", at positions 478 to 776 of the family's 1533-position model. Lineage: Bacteria; Bacillati; Actinomycetota; Actinomycetes; Micrococcales; Micrococcaceae. The record is from RNAcentral.
GUGCCAGCAGCCGCGGUAAGGUAAUUGUGUGCCAGCAGCCGCGGUAAUACGUAGGGCGCAAGCGUUAUCCGGAAUUAUUGGGCGUAAAGAGCUCGUAGGCGGUUUGUCGCGUCUGCCGUGAAAGUCCGGGGCUCAACUCCGGAUCUGCGGUGGGUACGGGCAGACUAGAGUGAUGUAGGGGAGACUGGAAUUCCUGGUGUAGCGGUGAAAUGCGCAGAUAUCAGGAGGAACACCGAUGGCGAAGGCAGGUCUCUGGGCAUUAACUGACGCUGAGGAGCGAAAGCAUGGGGAGCAAACAGG